Molecule: small RNA, 354 nt
Filed under: Arabidopsis thaliana (thale cress)
Lineage: Eukaryota; Viridiplantae; Streptophyta; Magnoliopsida; Brassicales; Brassicaceae
Description: ATSL154380
Source: RNAcentral
AAAUCCGUUUUGGCAUGUUUGAACGAAGUACAUACUUUGAUAUCAUUUCAUCAUAUAAAUUUUCGAAGAAGUCAAUUAAAACCGUGUUGUAUGAUAAUUUGUUUGGGAAGUCUGUCUGUUGGGCGUAGCCCAAUUGGUUUACAUAGUAGUCAGAAAUGCAAUCGGCCUGACUAUCACUCGGUAUUAGUCGGAAAGCAUUUCAAACUCGAGACAAACAAUGUGGUUCCUUCGGAGAGAAGUCCACUCUAAAACACUUUGGUGCGUUUUUACUGAGGUUAAACAGAUCAGUCUAUAGAAUUUAUCAAAAAAAAAAAAAAAGUUGAGGUUGUGUGCAACUUAAAUUGGAUUCUUAAU